AUGGCGAUGAGGAGAAGCAAGGGGGCACACACGAGGAAGAGUGAAGCUGGAGCAGGCAUGGGGAUAGAGAAGCAAAAAGAGAAGAGCUGCAGUUUAGAGAGUGUUGAGCGAGUGCUACGGUGUAUACCAUGUUCUCGGGAUCGAUGGUAUGUUCCUUUGGGGAGACAAACAAAAAAAACUAAUAAUUGGUCGAGCCAGGUGUAUACCAUGUUCUCGGGAUCGGUGGUAUGUUCCUUUGGUAAGAUCAAUAAAAUAUUAUCAUUGCUUCCUUCAAAUUCAAUAAGUGGUUCAACCACAAUGUUCCUGGUAAUAAGUGAUCUGAUCACAAGUUCAAGUUAUUUUUUUUUGGAUCAAGCUCUCUUUAGGAACCAUUUGGCGCAGUCAUCAUUUAAACUUGUCGAUCCUCUUUUAUCAUUGUAA
Molecule: ribosomal RNA, 420 nt
Filed under: Triticum aestivum (bread wheat)
Lineage: Eukaryota; Viridiplantae; Streptophyta; Magnoliopsida; Poales; Poaceae
Description: partial small subunit ribosomal RNA
Source: RNAcentral